Molecule: ribosomal RNA, 429 nt
Filed under: uncultured bacterium
Lineage: Bacteria
Description: bacterial SSU rRNA
Rfam family: Bacterial small subunit ribosomal RNA
Source: RNAcentral
UGGGGAAUUUUCCGCAAUGGGCGAAAGCCUGACGGAGUGACGCCGCGUGGGGGACGAAGGCCUUCGGGUCGUAAACCCCUGUCAGAGGGAAAGAAGGGUGUCGGCGUGAAUAGCGCCGGCACUUGACGGUACCUUCAGAGGAAGCCCCGGCCAACUCUGUGCCAGCAGCCGCGGUAAGACAGAGGGGGCAAGCGUUGCUCGGAAUCACUGGGCGUAAAGGGCGUGUAGGCGGGAUGGCAAGUCGGGCGUGAAAGCCUUCGGCUCAACCGAAGAAGUGCGUCCGAUACUGCUGUUCUUGAGGGUUGGAGAGGAGACUGGAAUUCCCGGUGUAGCGGUGAAAUGUGUAGAGAUCGGGAGGAACACCGGUGGCGAAGGCGGGUCUCUGGCCAAACCCUGACGCUGAGGCGCGAAAGCGUGGGGAGCAAACGG